GCUGGCGGCGUGCCUAACACAUGCAAGUCGAGCGAGAAAGUGGGGGCAACUCCAUGAGUACAGCGGCGACCGGGUGAGUAACACGUGACUAACCUACCCUUGAGUGGGGAAUAACUCCGGGAAACCGGAGCUAAUACCGCAUAACACCGCAAGGUCAAAGGAGCAAUUCGCUUAAGGAGGGGGUCGCGGUUGAUUAGCUAGUUGGUGGGGUAAUGGCCCACCAAGGCGAUGAUCAAUAGCCGGCCUGAGAGGGCGCACGGCCACACUGGAACUGAAACACGGUCCAGACUCCUACGGGAGGCAGCAGUGGGGAAUUUUGCGCAAUGGGGGAAACCCUGACGCAGCAACGCCGCGUGAAGGAUGAAGGUCUUUGGAUUGUAAACUUCUUUCGUCCGGGAAGAUAAUGACGGUACCGGAAUAAGAAGCCCCGGCUAACUUCGUGCCAGCAGCCGCGGUAAUACGAAGGGGGCAAGCGUUGUUCGGAAUUAUUGGGCGUAAAGGGCGCGUAGGCGGUGCGGUAAGAGUGUUGUGAAAUCCUCGGGCUCAACUCGAGGCCUGCAACGCUGACUGCCGUGCUGGAGUGUGGGAGAGGUGCGUGGAAUUCCCGGUGUAGC
Molecule: ribosomal RNA, 614 nt
Filed under: uncultured soil bacterium
Lineage: Bacteria
Description: bacterial SSU rRNA
Rfam family: Bacterial small subunit ribosomal RNA
Source: RNAcentral